RNAcentral lists this ribosomal RNA (301 nucleotides) under uncultured bacterium. RNAcentral describes it as "partial 16S ribosomal RNA". It matches the Rfam family "Bacterial small subunit ribosomal RNA", at positions 509 to 807 of the family's 1533-position model. The record is from RNAcentral.
CAGUAGCCGCGGUAAUACGAAGGGGGCUAGCGUUGUUCGGAAUUACUGGGCGUAAAGCGCACGUAGGCGGACAUUUAAGUCAGGGGUGAAAUCCCGGGGCUCAACCCCGGAACUGCCUUUGAUACUGGGUGUCUAGAGUAUGGAAGAGGUGAGUGGAAUUCCGAGUGUAGAGGUGAAAUUCGUAGAUAUUCGGAGGAACACCAGUGGCGAAGGCGGCUCACUGGUCCAUUACUGACGCUGAGGUGCGAAAGCGUGGGGAGCAAACAGGAUUAGAGACCCCCGUAGUCCCUGUCUCUUAUAC